RNAcentral lists this ribosomal RNA (497 nucleotides) under uncultured bacterium. RNAcentral's name for it is "partial 16S ribosomal RNA". It matches the Rfam family "Bacterial small subunit ribosomal RNA", at positions 28 to 507 of the family's 1533-position model. The record is from RNAcentral.
GACGAACGCUGGCGGCGUGCCUAAUACAUGCAAGUUGAGCGCUGAAGGCUGGUACUUGUACCAACUGGAUGAGCAGCGAACGGGUGAGUAACGCGUGGGGAAUCUGCCUUUGAGCGGGGGACAACAUUUGGAAACGAAUGCUAAUACCGCAUAAAAACUUUAAACACAAGUUUUAAGUUUGAAAGAUGCAAUUGCAUCACUCAAAGAUGAUCCCGCGUUGUAUUAGCUAGUUGGUGAGGUAAAGGCUCACCAAGGCGAUGAUACAUAGCCGACCUGAGAGGGUGAUCGGCCACAUUGGGACUGAGACACGGCCCAAACUCCUACGGGAGGCAGCAGUAGGGAAUCUUCGGCAAUGGACGAAAGUCGGACCAAGCAACGCCGCGUGAGUGAAGAAGGUUUUCGGGUCGUAAAACUCUGUUGGUAGAGAGGAACGUUGGUGAGAGUGGAAAGCUCAGCAAGUGACGGUAACGACCCAGAAAGGGACGGCUAACUACGUG